Molecule: long non-coding RNA, 7675 nt
Filed under: Homo sapiens (human)
Lineage: Eukaryota; Metazoa; Chordata; Mammalia; Primates; Hominidae
Description: non-protein coding lnc-MAP1LC3B-1:9
Rfam family: Metazoan signal recognition particle RNA (bases 2850-2997)
Source: RNAcentral
AGACGCGGGGUCAGCGGCUCAGAGCGCGGCUGUGUGGGGCUGCGGGGCUCCCGCCAUGCCCGCUGGGGUAGGUCCUGCGGACCCCGGCCACUGGAGCCACUCAUCAUUUCCGACGGAUGGGCCGGAGGGGCCGCCGGCCGCCCCAGCCAGGGUCUCGGUAGCCUGCAAGGAGAGAAAGAGGGCGCGGAAUUGGAAGCAGUCGUCACCCGGAGGCCUGGGCGUGCAAGCACCGAAGCUCUGGCUGGCCCUGAGCCUCCCCACCCCACCCGCUCUUUUCGCUGGAACGCGUGUACUUUGGGCAGUUGCUGACGUGGAGACAGGACGUAUGUCUUCAUAUUUUAGUAAAACCCAAUGCCCUCUGCCUCUCUGAUUAUGUUCUUUAAGUUAUCGCCAGUUCCAAUUUGUAUUUCUUGGAAACGGUUGGGUCUUCCCUCACUUUUCAGUAUUUUCAUGUAGACUCAAAUACUCUGGAUUAAUAUUUGUAUUUGCCCAAACCAUCACGAGCACCUCUUACCCUGAUGGGCAAUACUUCAGUGUGCUGCGUUCUGGCCACAGAGCAAACAGGGUGCUCCCAGGCACUGCCCUCUCGGAUUUCUUGCCUUGUUAUUUAAUCAUUAAGAUCGUGACCUAUGAGCAGGACUGUUUCCAGCCAGCACAUACACAUGUCCUCUCCUGGCCAGCAUCCAUGCUGAUUAGACGGUGCCCCUGCCAUACUAGCUGCCUAAUAUUUCAGAUACCCCACCCCGUGUGUGUGUGUAAAUCAUGUCACUGCCCUCUUUGUAGCUAAUGACAAAAUUCCAAGAGUCACCAUUAGCCUAGCACAUUAUGCCUGUCUCAUUUCUGCCCACUUUGGAGCACUCGGCUUCUCUGCUGUUUUCCUCCAGAGCACACUGAAACACUGCCAUAGCACAGCAGGGCAUAGAAGACAGGCUCAUGCUCCCCUGGACGCUCAGGCCUUCACCUCGGGCACACUAGGUCUUGUCAUUCCAUGUCAAGAAUAGCUCUUCACUGCCCUCACCCACCCAAGAAUGGCUAAAAUUAAAAGGACUGACAAUACCUAGUUUGUCGAGGAUGUCACAGCUGGAACCCUCAUACAUGGCUCAUGAAAUUGAUAAAACCACAUUGGCAAACUGGUAGUAUUUACAAAACCUAAACAUAUGAAUACCUGAUGACCAACUAAUUCCUCAACUCACCCAAGAGAAAUGAGAGCUUAUGUGUACCAGAAGACAUGAACAAAACUACCCACAGCAGCUUUCUUCCUGAUGGCCCCAAACUGGAAAUGAUCCAGAUGUCCAUCCAUAGGAAAAAAAGAUUUUAAAAAGAAAGUAUGGCAUGUUCACAGAGAGGAAAUUCUGUACAACAAUGGAAAUGGGCACACAACCACAACCCACAACAAUGUGGAUGAAGUGUACAAUGAAGUCAGACCCCAGAAUGUACAGACAAUUCCAUGUGUGUGAUGUUCAAAACCAGGAAAGCAAAUCCAUCAUGACACAGGCUGGGGAUGUGAAGGAAACUCCAGCCACCCUGCCCCUGUGCUCUGAGUAACAAGGCCUAGAUCCCAAUCCUUGCUCUGCCUCUUAUCAGAGACAGGUAUCAGACAAGUUGCCUAACUUUUCUGAGCUUCAGUUUUAUGUCUAAAAUAAUGAUAACCAUAGAACCAAUCCCAAGGAAGUUUCAGAAGAUCAAAUAUGAAAGAGCAUGAAAGGUGCUCAAAAACCAGGGACUGUCAUGGUAGCUCACAUCUGUAAUCCCAGCACUUUGGGAGGCCAAGGUGGGAAGAUCUCUUGAGCCCAGGAGUUUGAGACCAGCCUUGGCAACGUAGUGAGACCUCAUCUCUGCAAAAAAUUUAAAAAUUAGGCAUGGUGGCACAUGCCUGUGGUCCCAGCUACUUGGGAGUUUGAGGUGGGAGGAUCACUUAAGCCCAGGGGGUUGAGGAUGUAAUGAGCCAUGAUUCCAUCCAGCCCGGGUGACAGGGCCAGACCCUGUCUCAAGGAAAAAAAAAAAAAAAGCCAGACAGAGUCCAGCACACGUCAGUUUGUGACGUGAGUGUGCUUCAGGCUGGAAGUUUGGCCACUACCACUGCCUGUUUUAGGCUUUUGUUUCCAAAGCCCCCAAGUAGAGGGAAAGAGGAGCAGAAUGAGAUCUUUGUGAACCCAAGGUAAUGGGUACCCAAGCCAAACCCACAGAACCUCCUUGAUCCCAGGGAGAGAGUUGCAGGUUCCUCCCAGAUCACACCUCCCCAGGCAGCCUAUACCCAGACAGAAGCAGGGUUCCUGGGCACAGUUGUGUGGUUUCUUCACUAAUCAAGGGUCCCUUGCCAAGAACACAAGUGAGGCUUGCAUUUAUCCUGUGCUCAGCUAACCAAGUCAUGCACCCCAGCCUGGGCCUUAGCCUGCUCCAAAGCAGCGCCAUAUGUGAACUUACACAGGAGCACCCUGGGCUAGUGGUGGCCCUGCAGAGAGGCCUGACACCUGAGCAGCAGAAGCUACCACCAGACCAGAGGGGACCAUCAACCUGGCUAGACAGGGCAGAGAAGCAGUGGGCCACUGAGGCAAACAGCCUCACUUUCACCUGCUAAUGGCUCCUUCCAACUGCGAGAGUUGCUUGACCCAUGUGUGGGGACAGCCAUCAGCAGUGACAGGGUGGGGUGAAUGUUCCAGCCACUCCACUCUGCAGUCAGGACAACUUCAGGACAUGUUCUGCACUGGCUCCUGGCAUCCCCCGCAGGAUGGCUCCAGCCGCCUGUGUCCUGACCUUCUUGGUCAUGCCUGUAGUUCCGCCUCCUGUUGUUCGAGGCCAUCCUGACUAACACGGUGAAACCCCGUCUCUACUGAAAAUACAAAAAAUUAGCCGGGCAUGGUGGUGCAUGCCUGUAGUCCCAGCUACUGGGGAGGCUGAGGCAGGAGAAUCACUUGAACCCGGGAGGCAGAGGUUGCAGUGGGCUGAGAUCAGGCCACUGCAUUCCAGCCUGGGCAACAGAGCGAGACCCCGUCUCAAAAAAAGAACACUGAGUACACCGUAAGGGAUGGCGAGGAUGUGGCACAGGGGGACUCCUUCAUCCGCUCUGGAAAAUGUGGCAGUUUCUCCUCUGAUGCAACAUGUGCUUAACAUGUGACACAGCAGUCCCACUUUUAGGUAUUUAAAGGAAUGAAAACUUAUGUCCACACAAAAAAUCACACAGAUGUUUAUAGUGAUUUUAUUGAUAAAGUGUCCAACUGGAAACUGCAAGUAUUCUUUCUGGGGACACAGAUACAUUGUGGUGCCUCCACCCUGUGAAUCCUGCUCAGCAAUCCGAGGGAUGAGCGGUUGAUUCAGGCAACACCGCGGAUGGAUCUCAGGGCAUCGUGCUGAAGUCCCACAUUCUAGCAAGGUGCUGCUUCCUGCAGAUGGGCAAACACUGGUCCUUGGCAGGUAGGGGGAAACACAUCUUGCCUUUUUUUGGAGACAGGGUGUCCCACUGUCACCCAGGCUGGAGUGCAGGGGUGUGAUAGUGGCUCACUGCAGCCUCAACCUCCUGGGCUCAAGCAAUCCUCCUGCCUCCUCCUGAGUAGCUGGAACUGUCUUCCUCUCUUGAAGUAGGAAGCACAGGUAUACACACAGUACACAAACAGUAUGUCUGUGGUGGUAGAAUUUCACGAGGGUAUUGGAAAAACGUCUGAUGAGGCUCCUUGGAGGAGCAAUAAUUGUGCAUUAUUAGAGGAGCAAUAAUGCACAAAGGCUGAGCCGCACCCUGCCAAAGGAGAAAGGCAGACAGACUCCCUGCUGGGAGAGCCCACUCCCCAGACGUUCUGGUUGAGGCUGAACUACGGGGUGGAGAGCAGAUCAGGGGCGCCAGGGGCUGGAGAUCUGGGGAGGCAGAGACUGCAGCGUCAGCAUGAAGGGAUUUUGAUGGGGGCUGGAGCACUCCAUGUCCUGAUGGUGCUUAUUUACAACCAUCUGUCAUCUCAGAACUGCACACACGGUAAAAUUUCACUAUAAAUAGCUUACACCUCAAAAACCUAACCAAACCCUUUUUAUUUUUUUUAAUUUCUUUUUUUUCGGGGCGGGGGGUGGGGGAAUGGAAUCUCUCAUUAUCGCCCAGACCGGAGUGCAGUGGUGCGAUCUCUACUCACUGCAACCUCUGCUUCCCGGAUUCAAGUGAUCCUCCUGCCUCAGCCUCCCACGUAGCUGGGAUAACAGGCACCCCCCAUCACCACCACCACCACACCCAGCUAUUUAUCUUUUUGAGACAACGUCUCAUUUUGUCGCGCAGGCUGGAGUGCAGUGGCACAAUCUCGGCUGACUGCAACCUCUGCCUCUCAGGUUUAAGCAAUUCUCCCACCUCAGUCUCCCGAGUAGCUGGGAUUACAGGCGUGCACCACCACACUCGGCUAAUUUUUGUAUUUUUUGGUAGAGACAGAGCUUCACCAUGUUGGCCAGGCUGGUCUUAAACUCCUGACCUCAAGUGAUCCCCCUGCCUCGGCCUCCCAAAAUGCUGGGAUUACAGGGGUGAGGCACUGCUCCAGCCCAAAUGCUUUUUAAAAGGAAGGAAAAAGAAGGACAGCUCAACCCUUUCUCACUAAAGGGCAAAGGACUGCUAGCUGGGCAUGUAAAAGUGUGCAUUUUCCUGAAGUGUGUUCUCUGGAAUCCUCUUCCCCAGAGAUGUUGAAACGGAGGUGCUUUGUUUAGUGCAGUGGCGGCAGAUGACAGCCACAGGACAGCUGCUCUGGGGGCCUUGGAAACUACAAAUGCUCAAACCCCCUCCCCAGGCCACAUCUCAGCGUGCGGGAACUGGGGUGUGCAUCUCUCCCAACAGCUUCCUGGUGACGCCAAGCUUCACACCCACCCAAUCCAUGGGAGCAAACCGACUGGACUGCAUGGCAGACGGUGGCCCACUGGCCAUUGCCUCUUUGCUUUGCUCAGGAACUGGGUGGAAUGUGCCCGGGGAAGGUAGCCCCAGAACUGCAGGGGAGCCACGACAGACUCAAGCCUCACGGAAACCCCUUUCCCUGGGCCAGAGUUGGUUCCUGGGUGGCGUGGGGCUGGCUCUGGCCAGUGAGGAGUCAGCCCCUGCUGAGGUUUCUGGGAAUUAUGUGUCUCCCAGGAGGAGAGGAAGACAGCUGAGGACACAGCAUCUCACUAGCCCCUCCUCACCCACCAGGUGCCAGGCCAGGUGUCACCUGAGCCAAGCAGCACACGACCGCCCCUGCCCACUUCCACCUCAGCCCUGACCCUCCCUGCACCUGGGAGUCCACCGCCUCCUGAUGUGUCUGUGAUCGGGGCAGCCCCAAGAGCACGUAUCCCGGGACAUGAUGUGUUGUGGUCUGUGUGGGGUCAGAGCCGUCAGUGUUCACUGCCGCGUGCCCAGUGCUUAGCACUGUUUGCCGCAUGGGAGAUGCAGGUCACAACCCGGUAGCGCCUAGUGGCCCGGGGGACACCUGGCUUGUCUGGGCCUGUUGGCUGACAGGUAGGAGGGACUGCCAUCCAUUGUUGGGGCAAAGGAUGCUGCUCAACCUCCCACAACGCAUGGAGCGGCCCGGCGCACGACUCACCCGGCCCCAAACACCAACUGUGCCGAGGUGAUGCCCUGCCCUGAGGCGAGCGUACAAGGCUUGAGCGUCGAGAACACUGCAAGGGUCUCAGCCAGUGAGGGGCUGCCUGGGCCCCGCCGCAGGCCUGACUCCUAGAGCCAAGCCGUUUUCUCCCUUCAGGCAGUGGGUAGGGCUCUCACAUGACGACCCUGGGUUUGCAGCUCGGCUGUGCACACAGGUGGACCCUCCGUGCUUUGUCAGUUCCUACUGCUUGGCCCUGGGGCCGGAAGCUGCUUCUCAGGCCUCACUCUGAGAAGCAUCUUCACAACCUGGGUAGGUCCAUUGCCUCUUUCCACCGACUCUGCUCCUUGACAAGGGCAUGUUCAUCAGCAGAGCCAGGCAGGGAGAGCUCAGGACAGCCAGACCUGGGGCCAGUGGCAUAGGUACGUGUGGGAAGGGGCACCAGGUGCCUGUCCUCCCUGCGGGCAGAGCCGUCUGUCCUCUGCAGACCUGCAGUUUCUGUAAACAUCCUGUAAGGAGCCAGGAAGCAGCAACUCCAGAUGCCCAGAGGAGCCCCAGCCAAGGCAGAUGCAGCCAGGGCAUCAGGCCGUGGGGCUGGGCAAGGUGAGCCACAGGCUGGAAAGGCAGGGGCGCACGGCAGAUGGGGAUGCGGAAGCCAGAUGCUGACCCAGCUCUACCCACAUUUGUGAGGGGCAUGGGGGCUGCGCCGUCAGAGGCCUUAGCUGGCUCCGGGCUUGAAAUGUGAGUCCCAAGAGCCCAAGUUUUAUUCCCACGUGGCCGCAGCAUGCCAGGCUUAGCCUCCCUGUGUUUCUGUAAAACAGCACCCUCGUGUUUUUAUAUGAGAACCGAAUUCAAGGUACUAGAAGUCCUCAUAUGGGAAGGGAAAAGUCGUGGUUUUAUAAGCAAUACACUCUGGCUGAGCCCAAGUUAAGAUUUCCAGUCCAAGUUCAUCAGCGCCUAGCUUCAGCCGGGACUGCUCUGGCCCCACUGCUGUGUGAGCUGGCGCUUCUGAUUCCACCCCACACUCGGUGAAAGGGUCCCAGAGCAACUGACACUGAGCGUCACCGGCGGCGGCUCUUCCUAGAGGAGCAUGUUCAGGAGAGGUGAGGCUGCGGGGCUGGGGCCCUGGGCUAAUACUCCCUGGCUGUGUGACCCUGGGCAAAUUACUCAGCCUCUCUGAGCUGCUGCUUCCUCUCCUGUGGAGUGGGCUGAUCCCAGCCACACCAGCACUCCUGGUUGUUCCGUGGUUAAUGUCUGCCAAACACGGUGCCAUGGAGAACACCCAGCAGAGCCCAGCUGCUUGUUUGCUGGGGAGGGACAGCGCUGCAGGGGCGCCUCCCCCUGGCCCUCCAGCACCUUUCCACCUUGCUUCCAGGACCUCCGCGGCUCAGAGGCAGUGCAGGUGGGCUUCAGGGACGGCAGGGAGGGCCCACGCCGGCACACAAGGAAGAAGGGAAGGCGCCAGGGAUCGCACCCCUCAGGAAGAAGAGGGACGGAGGCAAAGAUAGGAAGGACACGCAUUGUGCCUUCUGUCACUUGGGGAUUUUCAAGUCAAAAUGGGGAGGGGGCCGGGGUAGGUUUGGAAACUAUCCAAAUGGCAUUUUGUUUCACAUUGCUGGCUGGGGGCAAGCCCUCUGCAGUGACCCUACAUGCCCACUAGAGGUCACACCACAAAAGGGGACCUCCCCUAAGGAGGGGGGACAAACGGAGGACCCUGGGCACCGUGCCUCCUGCAAGGGGAGGAAGGAUGAAGCCCCGCCAUCCAUCGGGUGGGGAAAGCGCCAUGCCUCCGGCAGCACAGCCAAGCGGCCCCCACAGGGAGGAGUGAGCUCCAUAUGGGCCCAGGUGACCCGGCCACAACACCCUCUCGGCCUCCGCCUCACCUGCUGGUGUUGGGCAUGGCCAGCCUGGGCAGCCACCAGCCCUCGCUGCCCAUCUGCUGUCCCCUCAACCCCAGCAGCAGACAGAAAAGUGCAGGGUCUGAGCCCCCGGGGGGAUGCUGGUGUCGGACAGAUCCCUGGAGAACAAAGCCUGUGCCCUUGUGUCUAGGUGAGGCUGCGGCACCCAGGCCCGGAGCAGGUCCCCCCAGCUGGGCCAUCCCCACUCUUGGAGCAAGAGGGGAACUGCAGCAGGAAGCAGCCUUC